GAUGAACGCUGGCGGCGUGCCUAAUACAUGCAAGUCGAGCGAACGGACGAGAAGCUUGCUUCUCUGAUGUUAGCGGCGGACGGGUGAGUAACACGUGGAUAACCUACCUAUAAGACUGGGAUAACUUCGGGAAACCGGAGCUAAUACCGGAUAAUAUUUUGAACCGCAUGGUUCAAAAGUGAAAGACGGUCUUGCUGUCACUUAUAGAUGGAUCCGCGCUGCAUUAUCUAGUUGGUAAGGUAACGGCUUACCAAGGCAACGAUGCAUAGCCGACCUGAGAGGGUGAUCGGCCACACUGGCACUGAGACACGGUCCAGACUCCUACGGGAGGCAGCAGUAGGGAAUCUUGCGCAAUGCGGGAAAGCCUGACGGAGCAACGCCGCGUGAGUGAUGAAGGUCUUCGGAUCGUAAAACUCUGUUAUUAGGGAAGAACAUAUGUGUAAGUAACUGUGAACAUCUUGACGGUACCUAAUCAGAAAGCCACGGCUAACUACGUG
RNAcentral lists this ribosomal RNA (497 nucleotides) under uncultured bacterium. RNAcentral describes it as "partial 16S ribosomal RNA". It matches the Rfam family "Bacterial small subunit ribosomal RNA", at positions 28 to 507 of the family's 1533-position model. The record is from RNAcentral.